This 274-nucleotide ribosomal RNA is filed under the name uncultured bacterium. RNAcentral describes it as "partial 16S ribosomal RNA". It matches the Rfam family "Bacterial small subunit ribosomal RNA", at positions 523 to 796 of the family's 1533-position model. The record is from RNAcentral.
AUACGGAGGGUGCAAGCGUUAAUCGGAAUUACUGGGCGUAAAGCGCUCGUAGGCGGUUUGUUAAGUCGGAUGUGAAAGCCCCGGGCUCAACCUGGGAACUGCAUUUGAAACUGUCAGACUAGAGUUUGGUAGAGGGUAGUAGAAUUCCUGGUGUAGCGGUGAAAUGCGUAGAUAUCAGGAGGAAUACCAGUGGCGAAGGCGGCUACCUGGACCAAAACUGACGCUGAGGUACGAAAGCGUGGGGAGCAAACAGGAUUAGAAACCCCAGUAGUCC